RNA transcript from Fragaria vesca subsp. vesca, 606 nucleotides. RefSeq lists it as uncharacterized. The record is from RefSeq and is a predicted model, not a curated record. Lineage: Eukaryota; Viridiplantae; Streptophyta; Magnoliopsida; Rosales; Rosaceae. The transcript is spliced from 3 exons.
AUGAAGGAAGUUGCAGAGAUCAGAGAAACCAGAGCAUCCGAUUUUGGAUCUUUUCGAAUUCCAAGUCCUGGAUCUGAUGACGAUUCGACGGUGACGUUCGAAUCGGAGCUCAACGCCGGCGGUUGUCUUUGCGGUCCGGUCCGGCGGCUAUCCAAUUCAUCAGUGGCGGUCGACUCGGAUAUUCUAGGGUUUCUCGAAGAGAUCUGUUAAGUUGCUGAGGAUGUCAUGGAUGGCCCAGAAUACUGAUAUACUGGAUACUCUGAAACAUUGUGGCCAGAUCACUUGUCAGCUUGGCAUGGAUGGUUGGCCAGCCCUCUACAUUCAUGGAGGCAAAAGCAAGCCGGAAAGGAAUUGUUCCUGACAAAGAAGGCAUGGAUGGUUGGCCAGCCCUCUACAUUCAUGGUGGCAAAAGCAAGCCAGAAAGGAAUUGUUCCUGACAAAGAAGGCUUGUGGGAUGUUGAUGACGAUCGAAUUGUGGACAAAGGUAAAAGAAGAGUAGAUGUCAAUGUGAAAUUUUUUUUUUUUUUUUUUUGUCUUCCACCUUAUCAACUGAAGUUGUGAUUGUAAGGCCAAAGUUUGUCGCUGCAAAAUGAUGACUUUAAAAUC